RNAcentral lists this non-coding RNA (303 nucleotides) under Megaselia scalaris. Its description in RNAcentral is "Eukaryotic small subunit ribosomal RNA". It matches the Rfam family "Eukaryotic small subunit ribosomal RNA", at positions 1197 to 1413 of the family's 1831-position model. The record is from Rfam by way of RNAcentral. Lineage: Eukaryota; Metazoa; Arthropoda; Insecta; Diptera; Phoridae.
GACUCAACACGAGAAAACUUACCAGGUCCGAACAUAAAUAAGUAAGACAGAUUGAUAGCUCUUUCUCGAAUCUUUGGGUGGUGGUGCAUGGCCGUUCUUAGUUCGUAGAGUGAUUUGUCUGGUUAAUUCCGAUAACGAACGAGACUCAAAUAAUUAAAUAGAUGCUUUCAGGAUUAUAACGUUGAAACUUAUAUAUCGGUUGGCAUGAAUGCAGUAAAAUGUCCUAGUGUUAGCCUGAGAGCAGAACUAGGCUGUCAUUAUUGUAAAGUUUUGACCACUAAUCUAGUAGUGCUCUUCUCCUCA